ACCAGAAAAAAAAAAUAAAAUAUGUGUGAAAUUAUGAAAGCAAUUUGCGGUGAAGUUCUAAAAUAAACCCGUCAUACUCUGAUUAAUUCAAAUUAGAUUCGCUUCACAGUCCUAAUAUUAAUAAGCCAAUAAACCGACACACGAGUACCGAUACAAAGAUCGUUAUUAUCCCCGAUAAGUGGGCUAGCUACCGCAAAUCCAGUUUAUCGCAGCGUAUUAUGGCUUGGAACCACGUAGUGGCCCCGAGGCUCUCGGGAAUUACGGAUAUUCCUGGCAUGUUUUCUUCGCUGGCACCCCAAUUAUAAAAUACCGAAUGAGGAUUAAAAAGAUAGACGCAAUCACAAGAUGAUUAGUUAUUCAACCGAAUAAAAUAAAAAAUACCAUAUUUUUUA
This is a long non-coding RNA of Drosophila pseudoobscura, 392 nucleotides long. RefSeq lists it as uncharacterized. The record is from RefSeq and is a predicted model, not a curated record. NCBI's taxonomy places the organism in Eukaryota, Metazoa, Arthropoda, Insecta, Diptera, Drosophilidae. The transcript has 2 exons.